UGGAAGAAACUUCUCAACGAAGACGAGGAGAUUUCGAUUUCAGCGCAGAAUCGAUCUGAAACGAAGCACUUCAGCCACUGGAAUCGUGGAAAGGAUAGACUAGGAUCCUAAUCGAACUUCUCGGAUUGCUCUCAAACAUGUUUGGUUCCGAUCCAGGAUCGCAGGCAAGCUGGAAAGCAAAUACGAGGUGUCAUAAGCUCUGCUUAUAAGAUAUAAAGGCAAGCAAAGCAAGAGAUAUAUAACCAGCCUCCAUCCUAUCUGGAUUUGUGUUUACACAGGAAAAUACUUCAUGCACACAUUAUUCUCCGUAUCAUUCUGUGUAUUGGCAAUUGUUCCCAUUUUGUGAUUGAGACAUCUGAUACUUCAAUCUGGUUCUCUUAGUAAAUUCUCAAGUAGAGAAGCAUCUCAAUUACAAACAGAAGUUACGAACCUUGCUAAAGAGGCAAAGAAAGAAAGGAAUGCUCUGUCCAAGGAGGUUGCAAAGAUCAGCAACCAUGGAAUCUCAGUCUGAAUCUCACCACUUUUGCAGCUGCUGCGCAAGCAGUUGCUGAAGCAGAAGCUGCAAUGGCUGAAGCUGAAGAGGCAGCUCGUGAGGCUGAGGCUGCAGAAGCUGAUGCGGAAGCCGCCCAGGCUUUUGCAGAGGCAGCAUUGAAGACACUGAAAGGAAGAAACACCCCCAACAUGAAUGUACAGAUGAUUCAUGCUUGAUGGGGUUCAGUCUCUCUGAUCACUAGCCGCUUACAGAUUUUCUCGAAUGCAACCUGGUUGAUUGUCUUCCAUAGUUCCAUGGACUUGAUCUAUCUUGUAAAUAUAGCAACAAGAUAUUUAACCUAUAAUAUGAGGGAGCAGGGAGGUGUUCCUCCAGACGAGUCUGGCACUCGUCGUUGUCAGUUUUUGGGAGUUAGCUGUAUGUUGAUUCAUUCCAUUGUAGAAAUUGAUGCUCGUUUGCUGAACUCUUUUCUGUAUUAGUGGAAGAUGGUGGAGAGAUGUUUGUUGGGAAAGAAAGAAGAAAGCAAUAGAAAAAGAAAAAGAAAGACCUUGUGGAGAUACCAUAGAUCUAGAUGUUUGGAUCCACUGCUUUUUGUUUCUUUUAAUAGGCGUAAAAUGGAUGGUAGAUAUGGGGGCAAUUCUCUUUUAAAAUUGUUGUAGCUGCAGUAUACCCUUUUUUUGUUGUAUGAUAAUAAUAUUGAUGAUAAGAAUGAUAAUCAUGAAUCCAUGAUGGAGUGAAUAUAACCACCAGACUGCAUAUAAUUUGACUAUGAUGUACUAUUUUUUUUUUAGAGGGAUGUACUGAUUGUUGGUUACUUGUGCAUUAUACAGUUAUUACAGUUUGGUUGCUUUUAA
Long non-coding RNA from Salvia miltiorrhiza (redroot sage), 1344 nucleotides. RefSeq lists it as uncharacterized. The transcript has 4 exons. Lineage: Eukaryota; Viridiplantae; Streptophyta; Magnoliopsida; Lamiales; Lamiaceae. The record is from RefSeq and is a predicted model, not a curated record.